This 671-nucleotide ribosomal RNA is filed under the name Entomortierella parvispora. Its description in RNAcentral is "eukaryotic LSU rRNA". It matches the Rfam family "Eukaryotic large subunit ribosomal RNA", at positions 82 to 620 of the family's 3401-position model. Lineage: Eukaryota; Fungi; Mortierellomycota; Mortierellomycetes; Mortierellales; Mortierellaceae. The record is from RNAcentral.
AGUAACGGCGAGUGAAGCGGGAUGAGCUCAAAUUUAAAAUCUGGCUGGUUUACUAGUCCGAAUUGUAGUUUAAAGAAGCGUUUUCGGUGGCAGUCUCGGUAUAAAUCCUUUGGAAUAGGGUAUCAUAGAGGGUGAGAAUCCCGUCUUUGACUGAGAAUUUGCUACUAUGUGAUACGUUUUCAAAGAGUCGAGUUGUUUGGGAAUGCAGCUCAAAAUGGGUGGUAAAUUUCAUCUAAAGCUAAAUAUUGGCGAGAGACCGAUAGCGAACAAGUACCGUGAGGGAAAGAUGAAAAGAACUUUGAAAAGAGAGUUAAACAGUGCGUGAAAUUGUUGAAAGGGAAACGCUUGAAACCAGUCAUGUGGUUGGAAAAUCAGUGUUCAAUUGGGGGGAAUGGGGGAGGUGUGGACCGCAAGGCUGCUCUUUUCUAUAUCUCUUUUGUUGGGCAUGCACUUUUUCUGCCGCAGGUCAACAUCAGUUUCUUUUGCUGGACAAAACUCUUGAGAAGGUAGCAGCUUAGGCUGUGUUAUAGCUCUGGAGCGAUACAGUGAAGGGGACUGAGGUUUUCGCAGCAUGUGCUCUCGGGCAAGGCCAAUUGGGUGCUAUGGGAUCGUUCGGGGUACAAUACAUGUAUUUUGCUUCGUGUCCUUUCUAUACUCGUUCAAUUGAGCUC